AGCGAACGCUGGCGGCAGGCCUAACACAUGCAAGUCGAACGAACCUUUCGGGGUUAGUGGCGGACGGGUGAGUAACACGUGGGAACGUGCCUUUAGGUUCGGAAUAACUCAGGGAAACUUGUGCUAAUACCGAAUGUGCCCUUCGGGGGAAAGAUUUAUCGCCUUUAGAGCGGCCCGCGUCUGAUUAGCUAGUUGGUUGGGGUAAUGGCUCACCAAGGCGACGAUCAGUAGCUGGUCUGAGAGGAUGAUCAGCCACAUUGGGACUGAGACACGGCCCAAACUCCUACGGGAGGCAGCAGUGGGGAAUCUUGCGCAAUGGGCGAAAGCCUGACGCAGCCAUGCCGCGUGAGUGAUGAAGGUCUUAGGAUUGUAAAAUUCUUUCACCGGGGACGAUAAUGACGGUACCCGGAGAAGAAGCCCCGGCUAACUUCGUG
This 434-nucleotide ribosomal RNA is filed under the name uncultured bacterium. Its description in RNAcentral is "partial 16S ribosomal RNA". It matches the Rfam family "Bacterial small subunit ribosomal RNA", at positions 29 to 507 of the family's 1533-position model. The record is from RNAcentral.